ACCUGAGAGGGUGAUCGGCCACACUGGGACUGAGACACGGUCCAGACUCCUACGGGAGGCAGCAGUAGGGAAUCUUCCACAAUGGGCGAAAGCCUGAUGGAGCAACGCCGCGUGAGUGAAGAAGGUUUUCGGAUCGUAAAACUCUGUUGUAAGGGAAGAACAAGUACAGUAGUAACUGGCCGUACCUUGACGGUACCUUAUUAGAAAGCCACGGCUAACUACGUGCCAGCAGCCGCGGUAAUACGUAGGUGGCAAGCGUUGUCCGGAAUUAUUGGGCGUAAAGCGCGCGCAGGCGGUCUUUUAAGUCUGAUGUGAAAGCCCACGGCUCAACCGUGGAGGGUCAUUGGAAACUGGGGGACUUGAGUGCAGAAGAGGAAAGUGGAAUUCCAAGUGUAGCGGUGAAAUGCGUAGAGAUUUGGAGGAACACCAGUGGCGAAGGCGACUUUCUGGUCUGUAACUGACGCUGAGGCGCGAAAGCGUGGGGAGCAAACAGGAUUAGAUACCCUGGUAGUCCACGCCGUAAACGAUGAGUGCUAAGUGUUAGGGGGUUUCCGCCCCUUAGUGCUGCAGCUAAC
This 575-nucleotide ribosomal RNA is filed under the name Lysinibacillus sp. RNAcentral describes it as "bacterial SSU rRNA". It matches the Rfam family "Bacterial small subunit ribosomal RNA", at positions 290 to 856 of the family's 1533-position model. Lineage: Bacteria; Bacillati; Bacillota; Bacilli; Caryophanales; Bacillaceae. The record is from RNAcentral.